This 374-nucleotide ribosomal RNA is filed under the name uncultured organism. RNAcentral's name for it is "partial 16S ribosomal RNA". It matches the Rfam family "Bacterial small subunit ribosomal RNA", at positions 527 to 896 of the family's 1533-position model. The record is from RNAcentral.
GUAGGUGGCAAGCGUUGUCCGGAAUUAUUGGGCGUAAAGCGCGCGCAGGCGGUUCUUUAAGUCUGAUGUGAAAGCCCACGGCUCAACCGUGGAGGGUCAUUGGAAACUGGAGAACUUGAGUACAGAAGAGGAAAGCGGAAUUCCACGUGUAGCGGUGAAAUGCGUAGAGAUGUGGAGGAACACCAGUGGCGAAGGCGGCUUUCUGGUCUGUAACUGACGCUGAGGCGCGAAAGCGUGGGGGAGCAAACAGGGAUUAGAUACCCUGGUAGUCCACGCCGUAAACGAUGAGUGCUAAGUGUUAGGGGGUUUCCGCCCCCUUAGUGCUGCAGCUAACGCAUUAAGCACUCCGCCUGGGGAGUACGGCCGCAAGGCUG